AGAGUUUGAUCCUGGCUCAGGACGAACGCUGGCGGCGUGCUUAACACAUGCAAGUCGAACGGAAAGGCCUCUUCGGAGGUACUCGAGUGGCGAACGGGUGAGUAACACGUGGGUAAUCUGCCCUGCACUUCGGGAUAAGCCUGGGAAACUGGGUCUAAUACCGGAUAGGACCUUUUGGCGCAUGCCUUUUGGUGGAAAGCUUUUGCGGUGUGGGAUGGGCCCGCGGCCUAUCAGCUUGUUGGUGGGGUGACGGCCUACCAAGGCGACGACGGGUAGCCGGCCUGAGAGGGUGUCCGGCCACACUGGGACUGAGAUACGGCCCAGACUCCUACGGGAGGCAGCAGUGGGGAAUAUUGCACAAUGGGCGCAAGCCUGAUGCAGCGACGCCGCGUGAGGGAUGACGGCCUUCGGGUUGUAAACCUCUUUCAGCACAGACGAAGCGCAAGUGACGGUAUGUGCAGAAGAAGGACCGGCCAACUACGUGCCAGCAGCCGCGGUAAUACGUAGGGUCCGAGCGUUGUCCGGAAUUACUGGGCGUAAAGAGCUCGUAGGUGGUUUGUCGCGUUGUUCGUGAAAACUCACAGCUUAACUGUGGGCGUGCGGGCGAUACGGGCAGACUUGAGUACUGCAGGGGAGACUGGAAUUCCUGGUGUAGCGGUGGAAUGCGCAGAUAUCAGGAGGAACACCGGUGGCGAAGGCGGGUCUCUGGGCAGUAACUGACGCUGAGGAGCGAAAGCGUGGGGAGCGAACAGGAUUAGAUACCCUGGUAGUCC
Molecule: ribosomal RNA, 773 nt
Filed under: uncultured bacterium
Lineage: Bacteria
Description: bacterial SSU rRNA
Rfam family: Bacterial small subunit ribosomal RNA
Source: RNAcentral